Molecule: ribosomal RNA, 497 nt
Filed under: uncultured bacterium
Lineage: Bacteria
Description: partial 16S ribosomal RNA
Rfam family: Bacterial small subunit ribosomal RNA
Source: RNAcentral
GAUGAACGCUGGCGGCGUGCCUAAUACAUGCAAGUCGAGCGAACAGACGAGGAGCUUGCUCCUCUGACGUUAGCGGCGGACGGGUGAGUAACACGUGGAUAACCUACCUAUAAGACUGGGAUAACUUCGGGAAACCGGAGCUAAUACCGGAUAAUAUAUUGAACCGCAUGGUUCAAUAGUGAAAGACGGUUUUGCUGUCACUUAUAGAUGGAUCCGCGCCGCAUUAGCUAGUUGGUAAGGUAACGGCUUACCAAGGCAACGAUGCGUAGCCGACCUGAGAGGGGGAUCGGCCACACUGGAACUAGGACACGGUCCAGACUCCUACGGGAGGCAGCAGUAGGGAAUCUUCCGCAAUGGGCGAAAGCCUGACGGAGCAACGCCGCGUGAGUGAUGAAGGUCUUCGGAUCGUAAAACUCUGUUAUUAGGGAAGAACAAAUGUGUAAGUAACUAUGCACGUCUUGACGGUACCUAAUCAGAAAGCCACGGCUAACUACGUG